CUACAGACAACCAGGUCCUGGUUACCUUCAAGGCAUCCAAAAGAGCAGAAGUUACUCGGAGCCAGUCACUGCUUUGGUACUUCAGGGAGGAGAAGUUAGAGAUCCAAGUGUGGCGAGCUUAUGGCAACGAUAACUUAGAGAGGCCGCACCAGACCGACAGCUGGAUUGGCUCAGCCUAUGUAGACCUGUCCAGACUUGGGGAAAAAUCAACAAGGACACUAACUGUCAGUGGUGAGUGAAGAUUCAGGUUUAACUAAGCACCUUCUCUGUACAUAAAUUCAUCUGAUUUGUACGUGUAAUCUGGUACCUAAACUAUUAUAGCACUUAGUUAACGUGUACAGGAUGGGGUCGAGUGAGUCUCCCCGACUAACUGUAAUAGGUAUGUCAGAGCCUGGGUGGUCAUGGACGGUGACGGUUUAUUUGCUGCAUUGAAGAGCACCUUCAAGGAUAUUCUCUUCCCUGGGUAUUUCUCAGGACAGUCGUCUUUUUUGGUGAGCACCUCUUAGAGCUGGUAAAAUGACAGCACAUCAUCCUGUGAUCCCUAAUGGGGAAAGAGUUUCCAUCACUGCCUUCAAGAGAAAACACACAGCCUCUCUGCAUCUCAGAUCCCCCACUUCCCUGACCCAGUACUGAAAUAAAGAAAAUAUACAUGCU
This 654-nucleotide long non-coding RNA is filed under the name Rattus norvegicus (Norway rat). RNAcentral's name for it is "long non-coding RNA NONRATT001011". The record is from RNAcentral. Lineage: Eukaryota; Metazoa; Chordata; Mammalia; Rodentia; Muridae.